UGGGGAAUUUUGGACAAUGGGCGAAAGCCUGAUCCAGCAAUGCCGCGUGUGUGAAGAAGGCCUUCGGGUUGUAAAGCACUUUUGUCCGGAAAGAAAUCCUUGGCUCUAAUACAGUCGGGGGAUGACGGUACCGGAAGAAUAAGCACCGGCUAACUACGUGCCAGCAGCCGCGGUAAUACGUAGGGUGCAAGCGUUAAUCGGAAUUACUGGGCGUAAAGCGUGCGCAGGCGGUUUGCUAAGACCGAUGUGAAAUCCCCGGGCUCAACCUGGGAACUGCAUUGGUGACUGGCAGGCUAGAGUAUGGCAGAGGGGGGUAGAAUUCCACGUGUAGCAGUGAAAUGCGUAGAGAUGUGGAGGAAUACCGAUGGCGAAGGCAGCCCCCUGGGCCAAUACUGACGCUCAUGCACGAAAGCGUGGGGAGCAAACAGGAUUAGAUACCCUGGUAGUCCACGCCCUAAACGAUGUCAACUAGUUGUUGGGAUUCAUUUCCUAGUAACGUAGCUAACGCGUGAAGUUGACCGCCUGGGGAGUACGGUCGCAAGAUUAAAACUCAAAGGAAUUGACGGGGUCAUAGCUGUUUCCU
RNAcentral lists this ribosomal RNA (583 nucleotides) under uncultured bacterium. RNAcentral's name for it is "partial 16S ribosomal RNA". It matches the Rfam family "Bacterial small subunit ribosomal RNA", at positions 355 to 1375 of the family's 1533-position model. The record is from RNAcentral.